RNAcentral lists this ribosomal RNA (253 nucleotides) under uncultured bacterium. Its description in RNAcentral is "partial 16S ribosomal RNA". It matches the Rfam family "Bacterial small subunit ribosomal RNA", at positions 524 to 776 of the family's 1533-position model. The record is from RNAcentral.
UACGUAGGUGACAAGCGUUGUCCGGAUUUACUGGGCGUAAAGAGCGCGCAGGCGGUCGUUCAAGUCGAGUGUGAAAGCCCCCGGCUCAACUGGGGAGGGUCAUUCGAUACUGAUCGACUCGAAGGCAGGAGAGGGAAGUGGAAUUCCCGGUGUAGUGGUGAAAUGCGUAGAUAUCGGGAGGAACACCAGUGGCGAAGGCGGCCAACUGGACGAAUACUGACGCUGAGACUCGAAAGCGUGGGGAGCAAACAGG